GGCGUACAACAAUGCAAAGUUAGUUUACUUAUAAGUUUAUCAACAAAACGUUUGAGCGUUAUUCCUCACGCCUGCCCCCAAUCAUCUGUCCUUCGUCCCCUACCGCCAGCCGUACCGCUAUAUUUUAUAAUCGUAAACCUUUUAUUCUUUUUUUUUUUUUCUACGCCGUGUUAUUUUUUUUUCCACUUCGCGUGUCCUAGAAAGUAUGAAAUUGUUGCGGAAACCAAAGUUCGCGAGCGCAAUACGUAUAAUCCCUUGUCCGUGUUUUUCGGUUAAUUUUGUUCACAACAACAAUCCGUACCCCCCCCCCCACCGGUAUAUCAUUAUAGAAUGGGCCGUGAAAACACCCAAAAAACCUCGGGCGAGGACGUGGUCUACUGAUACGUGCGUGUGUGAACAGAAAAUCAACAGUUUUACGAGAAAUUAAAACGCAUCAUAAGAUUACUACUAAAGAUAUUUGAUAUGUUGUACAGCUAUACAUAAUAUCGACGGUGUUCUGUUAAAAGUACGUAUACCACUAAAACACUUUUUUUUCAGUAAGCGAAAAAACUGUUUUUAAUGAUGUUUAUCGUGGAAAACAAUAAAAUUACACGUGAACAUAACACCUUCUACACAAAUAAUACAUUGAAUGCGGUAUACACGCCCUUUUAACAAAUCAGUGCAAUUGAUUUAGUUAUA
Non-coding RNA from Cinara cedri, 678 nucleotides. Lineage: Eukaryota; Metazoa; Arthropoda; Insecta; Hemiptera; Aphididae. The record is from the annotation of a GenBank genome assembly.